CAGCCGUCUCGAACGGGGGAAGACGGUCAGAGGCCUGGCGCUUCAGCGACUGGCCUCGCCGGGGCUGGGGCACCGCACGCAAUUCGAAGCUCGACGCCUGGCGAAAUCAGAGCCUACCCGAGCGAAAGGCCCCGACCGGUAUCGGUCAGGGCCCCAUUCAGUUCCCACCAGCUCAAUAAGAGAGCACGGACACGGCAAUACGUUCUCCAGCACAGCCCAUUACAAGCCAUAGCGAUGCAAGAAGAUGUGUCGGUGCAAGUGGGAUAUUACACAAACGUAUUACUAUAACCAGUAACAAAUUGGGGGUAUUCGCAUUAAAUCGGCUCGCGAAUACCAUCUGCGCUGAGUCGAACCGU
This 356-nucleotide small RNA is filed under the name Sinorhizobium meliloti 2011. RNAcentral's name for it is "putative ncRNA". Lineage: Bacteria; Pseudomonadati; Pseudomonadota; Alphaproteobacteria; Hyphomicrobiales; Rhizobiaceae. The record is from RNAcentral.